CGUAGGUGGCAAGCGUUGACCGGAAUUAUUGGGCGUAAAGCGCGCGCAGGCGGUUCCUUAAGUCUGAUGUGAAAGCCCCCGGCUCAACCGGGGAAGGUCAUUGGAAACUGGGGAACUUGAGUGCAGAAGAGAAGAGCGGAAUUCCACGUGUAGCGGUGAAAUGCGUAGAGAUGUGGAGGAACACCAGUGGCGAAGGCGGCUCUUUGGUCUGUAACUGACGCUGAGGCGCGAAAGCGUGGGGAGCAAACAGGAUUAGAUACCCUGGUAGUCCACGCCGUAAACGAUGAGUGCUAAGUGUUAGAGGGUUUCCGCCCUUUAGUGCUGCAGCUAACGCAUUAAGCACUCCGCCUGGGGAGUACGGCCGCAAGGCUG
RNAcentral lists this ribosomal RNA (372 nucleotides) under uncultured organism. Its description in RNAcentral is "bacterial SSU rRNA". It matches the Rfam family "Bacterial small subunit ribosomal RNA", at positions 526 to 896 of the family's 1533-position model. The record is from RNAcentral.